GGCAUUUAACCAGGGCAACAGCCACGGCGCCGCGAAGUAGAGAGACCGAGGCGAGCUCUCCCUCUCCCGCGUCUCCCGCUGCCUCUCGCUGUCCCUCCAUUCUUGCCCUUCGCCGUUCUACUCUCCGCCUGUUGACUGCUUCGGAGGCCGAUCGCACUUCACCGAUCAUCCGCCUUCUCGGAGGAGCGCCGCUUUUCUGGGAAUAGAAUGGACCAGUAUGAGAAGGUGGAAAAGAUUGGGGAGGGGACUUACGGGGUGGUGUACAAGGCUCGGGAUCGUCUCACUAACGAGACGAUAGCUCUGAAGAAGAUCCGGCUGGAGAAUGAAGACGAGGGGGUUCCAAGUACUGCCAUAAGAGAGAUCUCUCUGCUGAAAGAAAUGCAGCACAGCAACAUUGUCAGAUUGCAGGAUGUAGUCCACAGCGACAAACGAAUUUAUUUAGUUUUUGAGUAUCUUGACUUAGACUUGAAGAAGCACAUGGACUCUUGCCCAGAACUUGCUAAAGAUCCACGAUUAGUUAAAACUUAUUUGUAUCAAAUGCUUCGUGGUAUUGCCUACUGUCAUUCUCAUAGGGUUCUUCAUCGAGAUCUGAAGCCUCAAAAUCUUUUGAUUGAUCGAAGAACUAAUGCAUUGAAGCUUGCAGACUUUGGGCUUUCUAGAGCUUUUGGCAUUCCAGUUCGGACAUUCACACAUGAGGUAGUAACGCUUUGGUAUAGAGCUCCAGAAAUCCUCCUUGGAUCCAGACAAUAUUCUACACCUGUUGAUGUGUGGUCAGUGGGCUGUAUUUUUGCUGAAAUGGUGAAUCAGCAACCAUUGUUCCCUGGUGACUCAGAGAUUGAUGAAUUGUUUAAGAUAUUCAGAAUCUUGGGUACCCCAAAUGAAGAAACUUGGCCUGGAGUUACUUCCUUACCUGACUUCAAGUCUGCUUUUCCCAAGUGGCAAUCUAAGGAUCUGGCAACAGUGGUUCCUAAUCUUGGAGCUCCAGGGAUUGAUCUUCUCUCUAUUCUACGAGUUCAAGCUUGUCUUCAAUUAUGAAAUUCCAGAAAUAGGUUGCUGAUCUUCCUAGUUGUUGGGACGAUAUCUAUUUAAAUAAAGAGAAUGCUCAUUUUAGACCCCAGUAAGAGAAUCUCAGCUCGUCAGGCUUUGGAGCACGAGUACUUCAAUGAUCUUGGACUGGUGCCAUGAGCAAUAUUGGUUAAUACAUCGAAAUUUUGCAGCCGUUUUUACCUCUCUGCCAUGGUUUCUGUUAUAAUCAUCAAUAGUUUCUCUACUUGAAGCUUGCUAGCAUUCUUCGCCGGACAGGAUCUGUGUCUCGAACUAAAAGAUCUCCAUUGGCACAAAGAUGUGGCUCACUCCACCUGUUCUUCAGCCAAGAGAAAAGUUUGACUCCACUUCUGUAUCUCUGUGUGAGACUAAUAUAUUUCUUUGAACCUAUACUUGACCUUUUCAUAUAAGCAUAUUCACUGUGUGGUUGAAGUA
This is an RNA transcript of Zingiber officinale, 1479 nucleotides long. It is a transcript of the gene named cell division control protein 2 homolog A, with no coding region annotated. NCBI's taxonomy places the organism in Eukaryota, Viridiplantae, Streptophyta, Magnoliopsida, Zingiberales, Zingiberaceae. The transcript is spliced from 10 exons. The record is from RefSeq and is a predicted model, not a curated record.